CAACAGGGAUUGCCUCAGUAACGGCGAGUGAAGCGGCAAGAGCUCAAAUUUGAAAUCUGGAGCCUCCGGCGCCAGAGUUGUAAUUGGGAGAGAUAUCAUGGCGUGAGGCGCCGGCCAAAGUUCCCUGGAAGGGGACGCCGUAGAGGGUGAGAGCCCCGUGCAUGGCCCGGCAGUCCGAUCCUCAAUCAUGAGUCUUCGACGAGUCGAGUUGUUUGGGAAUGCAGCUCAAAAUGGGUGGUAAAUUUCAUCUAAAGCUAAAUACCGGCGGGAGACCGAUAGCGCACAAGUAGAGUGAUCGAAAGAUGAAAAGCACUUUGAAAAGAGAGUUAAACAGUACGUGAAAUUGUUGAAAGGGAAGCGCUUCAGACCGGAGGUGGGCUGUGGGUGAUCUGCGUCCUCGCUCUGCGGGGCCGUGCACUCGCUCACAGCCUGGCCAGCAUCGGUCGCGGUGGCGGGAGGAAGGCCGCGGGAAUGUGGCUCCCCCUCUUGGGGGAGUGUUAUAGCCCGUGGUGAAAUGCCGCCGCAUGCGACCGAGGCUCCGCGCUUUUGCACGGAUGCUGGCGUCGAUGGUCUCGAGCGA
Molecule: ribosomal RNA, 580 nt
Filed under: Psilopezia juruensis
Lineage: Eukaryota; Fungi; Ascomycota; Pezizomycetes; Pezizales; Rhizinaceae
Description: eukaryotic LSU rRNA
Rfam family: Eukaryotic large subunit ribosomal RNA
Source: RNAcentral